RNAcentral lists this ribosomal RNA (256 nucleotides) under uncultured bacterium. RNAcentral describes it as "partial 16S ribosomal RNA". It matches the Rfam family "Bacterial small subunit ribosomal RNA", at positions 521 to 776 of the family's 1533-position model. The record is from RNAcentral.
UAAUACGGAGGUUGCAAGCGUUGUUCGGAAUGACUGGGCGUAAAGGGAGCGCAGGCGGCUUGUUAAGUCUGGAGUGAAAGCCCGGGGCUCAACCCCGGCGGGUCUUCGGAUACUGGCAAGCUUGAGUAUGGAAGAGGAGAGCGGAAUUCCAGGUGUAGCGGUGAAAUGCGUAGAUAUCUGGAGGAACACCGGUGGCGAAAGCGGCUCUCUGGUCCAAUACUGACGCUCAUGCUCGAAAGCGUGGGGAGCAAACGGG